CUGCGCUUGUCUUGAGACUAAACACCUACUAUUAGCAAAAUCCUAGCCGGCAACAUAAUUUUUUACGGAUAUUCAUCGUCUUUUCACAACUCCUCCGAGGUUUCGACAGCAUUCAAAGGAAAUCUUCACCACUUGCGGGAUAAGACGAGCAAAUAAGAAACGCAUCUUCCUCUUGGUAACUUUCAGGAGGUUUAAUGGGAGAAAAAUCGUUCUAACAUGAGAGUAAAAAGGCUUGCAGCUCGUUUAAAAGUAAAGAGACCUAGAUUACUGGCAAUUAAAAAGCUGAAUAACGCAGUACAGGCAGCAUCUCAGAAUUGUGUCAAGACUCUGGAGGAAAUCGGCGUUUAUGCCGAUAUGACCAAUAUCGAAUUUGAACAAAACCAUCAUCAACCUUUCCCCUUUCGGAAUGAUUCUGAAGGGGCGGCGUCGAAUUCUUCAGAGCAGGAUCAAGAGCCCAGAAUGUUCGCGAUGUUCCAUACCGGACGUCCAAGAUCGGAUGUUCAGCUCGGCGAAACAGUUUACUGCGAAUGUCAACUGUGUUGUGUAGACGUGGACGGCGAUUCCUACUCUUUCCAAACGAAAGAAAGUUUAUAAUAUAUCCGAAAAAAUCAACCAACACCUAACAGAUUCCGUCCAUUUCAAUUUAAAUAUGCUUAGUGAAAUAAAUUAUGAGCAACUUAUCUGGCGAUGAUUUUUUAAUUGGCAGAAACAACUUUAA
Long non-coding RNA from Cimex lectularius (bed bug), 718 nucleotides. RefSeq lists it as uncharacterized. NCBI's taxonomy places the organism in Eukaryota, Metazoa, Arthropoda, Insecta, Hemiptera, Cimicidae. The record is from RefSeq and is a predicted model, not a curated record. The transcript has 4 exons.